RNAcentral lists this small nuclear RNA (57 nucleotides) under Salmo salar (Atlantic salmon). RNAcentral describes it as "U7 small nuclear RNA (ENSSSAG00000110931.1, ENSSSAG00020059010.1, ENSSSAG00070044229.1, ENSSSAG00075066753.1)". It matches the Rfam family "U7 small nuclear RNA". Rfam says of the family: Animal histone pre-mRNAs are spliced by a different mechanism than nuclear pre-mRNAs and self-splicing introns. This processing involves the U7 snRNP, which contains only one RNA species: U7. The 5' end of U7 RNA is thought to base-pair to a conserved spacer element downstream of the cleavage site in histone pre-mRNA. Lineage: Eukaryota; Metazoa; Chordata; Actinopteri; Salmoniformes; Salmonidae. The record is from Rfam by way of RNAcentral.
UGGAAAUUAUGUUCUUUUAGUAUUUGUCCAGUAGGUUUCCUCAAGGAGAAAGCCCCU